This 78-nucleotide transfer RNA is filed under the name Neisseria sp. Marseille-Q1983. RNAcentral describes it as "tRNA-Thr". It matches the Rfam family "tRNA". Rfam says of the family: Transfer RNA (tRNA) molecules are approximately 80 nucleotides in length. Their secondary structure includes four short double-helical elements and three loops (D, anti-codon, and T loops). Lineage: Bacteria; Pseudomonadati; Pseudomonadota; Betaproteobacteria; Neisseriales; Neisseriaceae. The record is from RNAcentral.
GCCGGUAUAGCUCAGUUGGUAUAGAGCACCUGACUUGUAAUCAGGGGGUCCCGAGUUCGACUCUUGGUGCCGGCACCA